RNAcentral lists this unclassified non-coding RNA (328 nucleotides) under soil metagenome. Its description in RNAcentral is "partial contains 5.8S ribosomal RNA, internal transcribed spacer 2, and large subunit ribosomal RNA". The stretch from base 1 to 120 matches the Rfam family "5.8S ribosomal RNA", at positions 35 to 154 of the family's 154-position model. The record is from RNAcentral.
GAUGAAGAACGUAGUGAAAUGCGAUAAGUAGUGUGAAUUGCAGAAUUCAGUGAAUCAUCGAAUCUUUGAACGCACAUUGCGCCCCUUGGUAUCCCGAGGGGCAUGCCUGUUCGAGCGUCAUUUCACCACUCAAGCCUGGCUUGGUGUUGGGCGACGUCCCCUUUGGGGACGCGCCUCGAAACGCUCGGCGGCGUGGCACCGGCUUUAAGCGUAGCAGAAUCUUUCGCUUUGGAAGUCGGGGCCCCGUCUGCCGGAAGACCUACUCGCAAGGUUGACCUCGGAUCAGGCAGGGAUACCCGCUGAACUUAAGCAUACAAUAAGCGGAGGA